GCUGCUGUGGCAUCAUCAAGAUUCACAUCUCUGUUGAUGGACGGUGGUGAUUCACUCGAUCCCCAAAUUUGUCUCUGUGAAAAAUGAGAAUCUUGAUGAUGCUGCAUCGGC
Molecule: microRNA precursor, 111 nt
Filed under: Camelina sativa (false flax)
Lineage: Eukaryota; Viridiplantae; Streptophyta; Magnoliopsida; Brassicales; Brassicaceae
Description: miR172a stem-loop (cas-MIR172a)
Gene: cas-MIR172a
Rfam family: mir-172 microRNA precursor family
About the family: mir-172 has been experimentally verified in Arabidopsis thaliana. This family is thought to target mRNAs coding for APETALA2-like transcription factors.
Source: miRBase by way of RNAcentral